This 65-nucleotide transfer RNA is filed under the name Euphyllodromia sp. Z257. Its description in RNAcentral is "tRNA-Ser". The record is from RNAcentral. Lineage: Eukaryota; Metazoa; Arthropoda; Insecta; Blattodea; Pseudophyllodromiidae.
GAAAUAUCUGAUAAGUAAAAGCUGCUAACUUACUACUGUAGUGGUUUAAUUCCACUUAUAUUUCU